RNAcentral lists this ribosomal RNA (292 nucleotides) under uncultured bacterium. RNAcentral describes it as "partial 16S ribosomal RNA". It matches the Rfam family "Bacterial small subunit ribosomal RNA", at positions 333 to 623 of the family's 1533-position model. The record is from RNAcentral.
GUACUCCUACGGGGGGCAGCAGUGAGGAAUAUUGGUCAAUGGGCUUACGCCUGAACCAGCCACGUCGCGUGAGGGAAGACUGCCCUAUGGGUUGUAAACCUCUUUUGUCAGGGAGCAACGCCGGCUACGUGUAGCCGGACUGAGAGUACCUGAAGAAAAAGCAUCGGCUAACUCCGUGCCAGCAGCCGCGGUAAUACGGAGGAUGCGAGCGUUAUCCGGAUUUAUUGGGUUUAAAGGGUGCGUAGGCGGAAUGCCAAGUCAGCGGUAAAAUGCGUAGAUAUUAGGAGGAACA